RNAcentral lists this ribosomal RNA (883 nucleotides) under uncultured Planctomycetota bacterium. Its description in RNAcentral is "bacterial SSU rRNA". It matches the Rfam family "Bacterial small subunit ribosomal RNA", at positions 9 to 873 of the family's 1533-position model. The record is from RNAcentral. Lineage: Bacteria; Pseudomonadati; Planctomycetota.
AGAGUUUGAUCCUGGCUCAGAACGAACGCUGGCGGCGGGGUUUAGGCAUGCAAGUCGAGGGAGAAAGCUCUUCGGAGUGAGUACACCGGCGCAAGGGUGAGUAACGCUAGUUAAUGUACCCAUCGGACCGGGAUAAUUCACCGAAAGGUGUUGUAAAACCGGAUGACAUAUAGUGAUCUUCGGAUUGCUUUAUCAAAGUUAUGGGAUCCUUCGGGACCAUAAGCCGUUGGAGCGGACUAGCUCCGAUUAGCUUGUUGGUGGGGUAAUGGCCUACCAAGGCGAUGAUCGGUAGCCGGCCUGAGAGGGUGUUCGGCCACACUGGGACUGAGACACUGCCCAGACUCCUACGGGAGGCUGCAGUCGCGAAUCAUUCGCAAUGGACGCAAGUCUGACGAUGCCACGCCGCGUGCAGGAUGAAGGCUUUCGGGUUGUAAACUGCUGUCAAGAGAGGGGAAACACCACGUAUUAAUAGUAUUUGGUUUGACUGCUCUUUAAAGGAAGCACCGGCUAAACACGUGCCAGCAGCCGCGGUAAUACGUGUGGUGCAAGCGUUGUUCGGAAUUACUGGGCAUAAAGGGUGCGUAGGCGGUAUUGUAAGUCAGGGGUGAAAUAUCACGGCCCAACCGUGAAAUUGCCUCUGAUACUGCAGUACUUGAGUGUGUUAGGGGUGAGCGGAACGUUUGGUGUAGCGGUGAAAUGCGCAGAUAUCAAACGGAAGGCCGGAGCCGAAGGGGGCUCACUGGGACACAACUGACGCUGAGGCACGAAAGCGUGGGGAGCAAACAGGAUUAGAUACCCUGGUAGUCCACGCCGUAAACGAUGAGCACUAGGUGGGUGUCUUCUUAUGGAUGCCUGCUGGAGAUAAUUUGUUAAGUGCUCCGCC